GGGGAUAUAGCUCAGAUGGUAGAGCGCUCGCUUAGCAUGCGAGAGGUACGGGGAUUGACACCUCGCAUCUCCA
RNAcentral lists this transfer RNA (73 nucleotides) under Ipomoea nil (Japanese morning glory). It matches the Rfam family "tRNA". From Rfam's summary of the family: Transfer RNA (tRNA) molecules are approximately 80 nucleotides in length. Their secondary structure includes four short double-helical elements and three loops (D, anti-codon, and T loops). The record is from Rfam by way of RNAcentral. Lineage: Eukaryota; Viridiplantae; Streptophyta; Magnoliopsida; Solanales; Convolvulaceae.